GUUUUUUCCUCGGAUAAUUACAUUUGCUAGGAAAACUCUUGCAAAAUAGAAAAAUGACCUCCAUGAAGUACCUUCCCAGUCAGAUUUAUUUCAGAAAAAAGUGCUAUAAUUUUAAAUUGGAGCAAUAUUGCUGGUAGAAAAGUUGUACACAGAAAAAAAAUGCCAUAUUUUUUUACUAAUACCUAUAUUUCGCACAUUUUCCGUUUUACGGCAUUUUAUACAGGUUUUUCCCAGUCACUAUGAAAACCGAUUGAAAAAUCACAAAUAUGA
Molecule: non-coding RNA, 270 nt
Organism: Cinara cedri
Lineage: Eukaryota; Metazoa; Arthropoda; Insecta; Hemiptera; Aphididae
Source: the annotation of a GenBank genome assembly